RNAcentral lists this long non-coding RNA (178 nucleotides) under Cavia porcellus (domestic guinea pig). RNAcentral describes it as "lncRNA (ENSCPOG00000031353.1)". The record is from RNAcentral. Lineage: Eukaryota; Metazoa; Chordata; Mammalia; Rodentia; Caviidae.
CAUCUUGUGGACCUAUUUUGGAACAUAUCACUACUAAAGCUUUUCCAAUGAGCAGAAUAAAGGGAUAAAAGAAGAAUGAAGGAAUCCUAAUUAAAGGGAUCAAACAUCUCAGUUGAGGUAAGGGAUCUACCAGUUCUCCAUCUCCAGUACCUGGUACACAGCAGAUGCUCAAUUGUUC